GUGAGUUCCUAUGCUAACAAAUUGCUUCAUACUACUGCAUCUUUAAAGUUGCUUUACCUUUCAUGUCAAGUUUAAUGAUUUUAAUCAUAUAAGAAAGGAGUUUAUUUUUGUUGGAAUUUCGUUGUAGUGCCAUUCUUAAUAUUUAUUGAAACUUUCCUCCUACGUAGUAGAAAGUGGAAAAUUAUUUUUGGACAGAUUAGAACACGUCACGCAGAUACGCAAAAUGUUCCAACACAAAAGAACGAAACAAAGAUCUUAAUAGAAGGGGUGGAGUUUUAUUAUUAUACAAUAAUAUAAUGCAUGCAUACAGUUAAUCGGAGCAUGAGGGUGACACAAAUAUUGGGAGUACACUCAAACAAAAUUAAUAAGACGAAGAAGAAAAUAAAGUAAAAAUAAAUAAAAGUGGCUUUUUGAGAAAUUAAAGCAUUAUGCCACAAAUUGUAAUAUAGAGUUUAGAGGCCACUAGAACCAAUCAAUUUUGUUAAGCCAAAAGUUAUGGCCAUAGCCAACCAAC
Molecule: long non-coding RNA, 514 nt
Filed under: Nicotiana benthamiana
Lineage: Eukaryota; Viridiplantae; Streptophyta; Magnoliopsida; Solanales; Solanaceae
Description: long non-coding RNA (NBEN_LNC002334)
Source: RNAcentral